AACGAACGCUGGCGGCAUGCCUAACACAUGCAAGUCGAACGAGACCUUCGGGUCUAGUGGCGCACGGGUGCGUAACGCGUGGGAACCUGCCCUUAGGUUCGGAAUAACUCCCCGAAAGGGGUGCUAAUACCGGAUAAUGUCUUCGGACCAAAGAUUUAUCGCCUUUGGAUGGGCCCGCGUUGGAUUAGCUAGUUGGUAGGGUAAAAGCCUACCAAGGCGACGAUCCAUAGCUGGUCUGAGAGGAUGAUCAGCCACACUGGGACUGAGACACGGCCCAGACCCCUACGGGAGGAAGCAGGGGGGAAAUUUGGAAAAGGGGCGAAAGCCUGACCCAGCAUUGCCGGGGGAGGGAUGAAGGCCUUAGGGUUGAAAAGCUUUUUUCCCCGGGAUGAAAAGGACAGUACCGGGAGAAAAAGCCCCGGCUAACUCCGU
RNAcentral lists this ribosomal RNA (432 nucleotides) under uncultured bacterium. RNAcentral describes it as "partial 16S ribosomal RNA". It matches the Rfam family "Bacterial small subunit ribosomal RNA", at positions 29 to 506 of the family's 1533-position model. The record is from RNAcentral.